UACCGGCAGCUCGAGUGAUGGCCAAUAUUAUUGGGCCUAAAGCGUCCGUAGCUGGCCGAACAGGUCUGUCGGGAAAUCCGCUCGCUCAACGAGCGGACGUCCGGCGGAAACCAGUCGGCUUGGGACCGGAAGACCCGAGGGGUACGUCCGGGGUAGGAGUGAAAUCCUGUAAUCCUGGACGGACCACCGGUGGCGAAAGCGCCUCGGGAGGACGGAUCCGACAGUGAGGGACGAAAGCUUGGGUCACGAACCGGAUUAGAUACCCGGGUAGUCCAAGCUGUAAACGAUGCUCGCUAGGUGUGGCACUGGCUACGAGCCAGUGCUGUGCCGUAGGGAAGCCGAGAAGCGAGCCGCCUGGGAAGUACGUCCGCAAGGAUGAAACUUAAAGGAAUUGGCGGGGGAGCACGGGGCGGGGGCGGCGGGCCGGGCGCGGGGCGCGGCGGGCG
RNAcentral lists this ribosomal RNA (446 nucleotides) under uncultured Halalkalicoccus sp. Its description in RNAcentral is "bacterial SSU rRNA". It matches the Rfam family "Archaeal small subunit ribosomal RNA", at positions 474 to 924 of the family's 1478-position model. Lineage: Archaea; Methanobacteriati; Methanobacteriota; Halobacteria; Halobacteriales; Halalkalicoccaceae. The record is from RNAcentral.